RNAcentral lists this ribosomal RNA (254 nucleotides) under uncultured bacterium. RNAcentral's name for it is "partial 16S ribosomal RNA". It matches the Rfam family "Bacterial small subunit ribosomal RNA", at positions 524 to 776 of the family's 1533-position model. The record is from RNAcentral.
UACAGUAGGGUGCGAACGUUGUCGGAAUUACUGGGCGUAAAGCGCGUGUAGGCGGCUAAGUAAGUCGGGCGUGAAAUCCCACGGCUCAACCGUGGAAGUGCACUCGAAACUGGAUGGCUAGAGUCCUGGAGAGGAAGGUGGAAUGCUUGGUGUAGAGGUGAAAUUCGUAGAUAUCAAGCGGAACACCGGUGGCGAAGGCGGCCUUCUGGACAGUGACUGACGCUGAGACGGCGAAAGCGUGGGGAGCAAACAGG